Molecule: long non-coding RNA, 2186 nt
Filed under: Panax ginseng (ginseng)
Lineage: Eukaryota; Viridiplantae; Streptophyta; Magnoliopsida; Apiales; Araliaceae
Description: long non-coding RNA (PGIN_LNC007761)
Source: RNAcentral
AACUGCAAAAGUUUCAAUAGUUCAUAUAAAAAAUGGUAAUAACAAGCUGCAUAUAAUAUAAAGUAGACUAAAAUGAAAUGUUACGCUCCCAGCUAGCAUAUCAUCUUCCCAUUUUUAUCCUUUCUAAACGAUUUAAGGAGUGAUUGGCAAGUUGUUAGUGGUCAGAUCUUUGGGGAUAACUGAGCUGGAGGUGUUGCUAGGGGUAUCACCAUCCUUUAUAAGAGAAAUAACAAACUCAGAACAGGGAUUGAUAUCCUCCCUCGAACGUUUAUCUUUGCCCAAUUAAUGAAGGGGAGGAAGGGUUAACCGUCUAAUGGGCCUGCCUCAUCGAAAUCUUCAGUGGCACCUUCGGAGAGGCAAAAUCUACUCAUAAAUCGCAGCUACAUCUCCUUUAGGGAAUUCUCAUUUUGGGCCUUCCUUUUUGCAUCUUCGAUAGGUACUUCCUCAUUGGUGUUUCCGUCUCUGUUCCAAUGUUGAUGGUGAUGGUUUGUUCGAGGUUAGGUUUGGGUUUGUCUUCAACCCAUCCUUUGACUUCCUCAAGCACAUCUUUAUAGUUCAUUUCCUCUUGCUCGAUUCUAAUCAAGUCGAAGUCCAGUUCUUUAUCGAAAUCGUAGUCAUUAUUCAAAUUUAGCAGAUCAUUGACAAGGCUAGAAACGCUAAAAUUUGGAAACCUGAGAAUAAAACUUGAUUCUUUAAUAUAUAUAUAAAAUUGUUAUCAACAGCAAAAGUUUCAACAAUUUAUAUGACAAAAGGCAAUAACAAGCUGCAUAUAAUAUAAAGUAGACUAAAAUGAAAUUGUGCACUCCCAGCUAGCAUAUCAUCUUCCCAUUUUUAUCCUUUCAGAAUGAUUUAAGGGGUGAUCGCGCGUCAAGUUGUUGGUGGUCAGAUCUUUGGGGAUAAUUGAGCUAGAGGUGUUGCUAGGGGCAUCACCAUCCUUGAUGAGAGAAAUAACAAACUCAAAACUGGGAUCGGUAUCCUCCCUCGAACGUUUAUCUUUGCCCAGUUAAUGAAGGGGAGGAUGGGUCGAUCGUCUGAUGGGACUGCAUCAUCGAAAUCCUCAGUGGCACCUUCAGAGAGGAAAAAACUGCUCAUAAAUCACAGCGGGAUCUCCUUUAGGGAAUUCUCAUUUUGGGCCUUCAUUUCUACAUCUUAGAUAGGUGCUUCCUCAUUGGUGUCUCCGUCUCUAUUUUAAUUGACCUUGGGUAUCAGGAGGUUUGAGACAAUGAUGAGUAUCUUCCUUAAUGGCUCUUUGAAACCCGCUUUAGUGAGGUUUGGCAUGAGGGGAGUUAAUAGGUGGACUGACAUCUUCUUAUGGAGCUUACGAUAUUUGAAACCACUGGGGUAACCCAAUCCGACCUUAUUUAAUUGCGUAGGUAUGUGGAUCGGAUUUUUGAUUCCUUUUCCACUCUUACCUAGACCUUGGCCUUGUCGGUAUCCUCGAGUGACCAUCUUUUGGCUGACAGUCAUUACCUCCAGAGAUAUCAUGGGUUUCAAUGCUGGCAAACCCAUAGGGUGAUAAUGAGGGGUGCUCACUUCAAAGGCUUAAAAGCUUACAGGCUCAAUGCCUUCAUUUAGACUGAUCAGGGGAAUCUCUCCUUGUGUAUGAAUUUGAUAUUUUGACUCAGCACUGAUGGUGACCAAGCUGCCAUUGAUAAUGUAUUUUAAUUACUGGUGGAGAGUGGAAGGAAGGAACUGCACCAGCCAUAUGAAUCCACGGUCGUCCCAACAACAGGUUUAUUCCUCGGUGAUGUUUAAUACUUGGAAGGACACAUUAAACAUGUAUGGGACAAUCUCCAUGGGAAGAUCGAUCUUCCCCAUUGUGUCCCUAUAUGAUCAGUCAAACGCUUUGACCACGACAUGACUAGUUCGGAUCCUGUUAGAAUUAAUCUUAAUCUUUUCAAGGGUACCAUAUGGGCAUAUAUUGAAAGCAGAGCUGCCAUCUAUUAGUACCACUCCUAUCACAUAUCUUGAUGAUGUAACCACGAUGUGAAAUGGUUUGCGGUGAUCGGUUCCCUCAGUUAGUAUAUCGUCAUCGGUAAAUGAUAUCACAUUAGUGUCCAGUACGUGACCGAUCAAGUGGUGUGUCGACACCGGGGAUUUGAUUCACUUUCCUGGUAUGUUGUUUACCUUUUGUAUUUUGAUAGAUCGAUUUACUCAUUUAAAAGGAGAGAUUUUAGGAAAACAAG